This 375-nucleotide long non-coding RNA is filed under the name Eucalyptus grandis. RNAcentral's name for it is "long non-coding RNA (EGRA_LNC007687)". Lineage: Eukaryota; Viridiplantae; Streptophyta; Magnoliopsida; Myrtales; Myrtaceae. The record is from RNAcentral.
UUUUUUUGGUUUAGUUUAGCGAUUGUUUUAAUAUUUUGCCCUUCUUCUUGACUUGGUCAAAAAGUGGGCUUUGAGAAAAAGGGAAAAGAAGAGAUAUAAAAAGGAAAAGAUACCAACGACAGAAACGAAAAGAAAGGGAAAAGACAGAGAGAGAAAGAGAGAGAAUUGUUUGGGCACGCGCGAGGUCUUUUCAUUCUUUUCAUUUCUCCUCCUCCACGAGAACCUGCCUCCUCUGUCCCUUUUCUUUCUUUACUUUUGUCGACCACUUCCCAGUUUGUCUUUAUUGAAGUUCUCUCUUUUGCCGGCCAUAGCCUGCUCUCUGUAUUUCUCUUUUUUUUUUUUUUUUUUUUUUACUUUUGGAAAAAGUAUUUCUCU